This 253-nucleotide ribosomal RNA is filed under the name uncultured bacterium. Its description in RNAcentral is "partial 16S ribosomal RNA". It matches the Rfam family "Bacterial small subunit ribosomal RNA", at positions 524 to 776 of the family's 1533-position model. The record is from RNAcentral.
UACGGAGGGUGCAAGCAUUAAUCGGAUUUAUUGGGCGUAAAGGGCGCGUAGGCGGUAUAGAAAGUCAGAUGUGAAAUUCUGGGGCUCAACCCCAGAGCUGCAUUUGAAACUUCUAAACUUGAGGAUAGGCGGAGAAAACGGAAUUCCACAUGUAGCGGUGAAAUGCGUAGAUAUGUGGAAGAACACCGGUGGCGAAGGCGGUUUUCUAGCUUAUUCCUGACGCUAAGGCGCGAAAGCAAGGGGAGCGAACAGG